GACGAACGCUGGCGGCGUGCUUAAUACAUGCAAGUCGAACGGUGAAGCGCCUUCCUUUUUGGUGGGUGUGGAUGAGUGGCGAACGGGGGAGCAACACGGGAGUCACCUGCCCCCUUCUUCUGGAUAACCGCAAGCAAGUGUGGCUAAUACGGGAUAUCUUGGGUCUGUCGCUUGAUGGGUCUGGGAAGGAUUUUGUUUCGGUGGGGGAUGGGCCCGCGGCCUGUUAGCUGGUUGGUGGGGUGAGUGCCUACCAAGGCGGGGAGGGGUAGCCGGCCGGAGAGGGUGGGCGGCCACGCGGGGACUGCGACACGGCCCAGACUCCGACGGGAGGCAGCAGUGGGGAAUAGUGCACAAUGGGCGCAAGGCUGAUGCAGCGACGCCGCGGGAGGGAUGGAGGCCUUCGGGUUGUGAACCUCUUUCGCCAGUGAAGCAGGCCUGCCUCGUUUGUGGGUGGGUUGACGGUAGCUGGAUAAAAAGCGCCGGCUAACUACGUG
Molecule: ribosomal RNA, 494 nt
Filed under: uncultured bacterium
Lineage: Bacteria
Description: partial 16S ribosomal RNA
Rfam family: Bacterial small subunit ribosomal RNA
Source: RNAcentral